This 492-nucleotide ribosomal RNA is filed under the name uncultured bacterium. RNAcentral's name for it is "partial 16S ribosomal RNA". It matches the Rfam family "Bacterial small subunit ribosomal RNA", at positions 29 to 507 of the family's 1533-position model. The record is from RNAcentral.
AUUGAACGCUGGCGGCAUGCUUUACACAUGCAAGUCGAACGGUAACAGGCCUUCGGGUGCUGACGAGUGGCGAACGGGUGAGUAAUGCAUCGGAACGUGCCCAGAGGUGGGGGAUAACGCAGCGAAAGCUGUGCUAAUACCGCAUGUGAUCUGAGGAUGAAAGCGGGGGACCAGGCAGCAAUGUUUGGCCUCGCGCCUUUGGAGCGGCCGAUGUCAGAUUAGGUAGUUGGUGGGGUAAAGGCCUACCAAGCCGACGAUCUGUAGCUGGUCUGAGAGGACGACCCGCCACACUGGGACUGAGACACGGCCCAGACUCCUACGGGAGGCAGCAGUGGGGAAUUUUGGACAAUGGGCGCAAGCCUGAUCCAGCAAUGCCGCGUGCGGGAAGAAGGCCUUCGGGUUGUAAACCGCUUUUGUAAGGGAAGAAAAGGCUUUGGCUAAUACCUGGGGCUGAUGACGGUACCGGAAGAAUAAGCAACGGCUAACUACGUG